Molecule: ribosomal RNA, 233 nt
Filed under: Deltaproteobacteria bacterium
Lineage: Bacteria; Pseudomonadati; Myxococcota; Myxococcia
Description: partial 23S ribosomal RNA
Rfam family: Bacterial large subunit ribosomal RNA
Source: RNAcentral
GAACCAAUGGUGUUCCAGUUGUCGCGCCAGCGGCAUUGCUGGGUAGCUAAGUUCGGAAUGGAUAACCGCUGAAAGCAUCUAAGCGGGAAGCCAACCUCGAGAUUAGAUAUCCCUUCUCGAUGGAAACAUCGGGACUAAAGACCCCUUGAAGACUACAAGGUUGAUAGGCCAGGUGUGUAAGUGUGGCGACAUAUUUAGCUAACUGGUACUAAUAGGUCGUGCGGCUUGGCCAC